This 484-nucleotide ribosomal RNA is filed under the name uncultured bacterium. Its description in RNAcentral is "partial 16S ribosomal RNA". It matches the Rfam family "Bacterial small subunit ribosomal RNA", at positions 30 to 507 of the family's 1533-position model. The record is from RNAcentral.
AUUAAACGCUGGCGGCAGGCCUAACACAUGCAAGUCGAGCGGAUGAAGGGAGCUUGCUCCUGGAUUCAGCGGCGGACGGGUGAGUAAUGCCUAGGAAUCUGCCUGGUAGUGGGGGAUAACGUCCGGAAACGGGCGCUAAUACCGCAUACGUCCUGAGGGUGAAAGUGGGGGAUCUUCGGACCUCACGCUAUUAGAUGAGCCUAGGUCGGAUUAGCUAGUUGGUGGGGUAAAGGCCUACCAAGGCGACGAUCCGUAACUGGUCUGAGAGGAUGAUCAGUCACACUGGAACUGAGACACGGUCCAGACUCCUACGGGAGGCAGCAGUGGGGAAUAUUGGACAAUGGGCGAAAGCCUGAUCCAGCAAUGCCGCGUGUGUGAAGAAGGUCUUCGGAUUGUAAAGCACUUUAAGUUGGGAGGAAGGGAAGUAAGUUAAUACCUGGCUGUUUUGACGUUACCAAAAGAAUAAGCACCGGCUAACUUCGUG